AGUGAACGCUGGCGGUAGGCCUAACACAUGCAAGUCGAACGGCAGCACAGUAAGAGCUUGCUCUUACGGGUGGCGAGUGGCGGACGGGUGAGGAAUACAUCGGAAUCUACUUUUUCGUGGGGGAUAACGUAGGGAAACUUACGCUAAUACCGCAUACGACCUACGGGUGAAAGCAGGGGAUCUUCGGACCUUGCGCGAUUGGAUGAGCCGAUGUCGGAUUAGCUAGUUGGCGGGGUAAAGGCCCACCAAGGCGACGAUCCGUAGCUGGUCUGAGAGGAUGAUCAGCGACACUGGAACGGAGACACGGUCCAGACUACUACGGGAGGCAGCAGUGGGGAAUAUUGGACAAUGGGCGCAAGCAUGAUCCAGCCAUACCGAGUGGGUGAAGAAGGCGUUCGGGUUGUAAAGCCCUUUUGUUGGGAAAGAAAAGCAGCAGGUUAAUACCCCGCUGUUCUGACGGUACCCAAAGAAUAAGCACCGGCUAACUUCGUG
Molecule: ribosomal RNA, 492 nt
Filed under: uncultured bacterium
Lineage: Bacteria
Description: partial 16S ribosomal RNA
Rfam family: Bacterial small subunit ribosomal RNA
Source: RNAcentral